RNAcentral lists this long non-coding RNA (1886 nucleotides) under Xyrichtys novacula (pearly razorfish). Lineage: Eukaryota; Metazoa; Chordata; Actinopteri; Labriformes; Labridae. The record is from RNAcentral.
UAAAUGCACAGGCCAAAACUCUCAGCUGCUGUGUACAAUACUGUAUACAGCAGCUAAAAUUAAAAACCUCCAUCAGAAAGUGUGUGUUCCCUAAUGAACACACACUGUCUGAUGUUCUGUUACCUACCAGCUGAAACCCCCCUUUUCUCCACCCAACUUUACACCACUCUCUUAGCAUGGGUGGCUGUAAGUACACUAGAGCAAACCUAAGUUUCCUUUUCUUUGGGUAGUUUUUUAUUUAUUUAAUUAUUUUUUUCAGUUGUCUCUGCCAUCUUUAACCUGAUUCCCAUUAGUACUAUCCUGACUAGCUCACUGUAAACUGAAAAAAUUAUCAAACUGUCAACCAAAAGUAAACACAUCACCUGUAGGUACAGUAGAGUAAAGCUAAGUUUCCUUUUGUUUGGGUAUUUUUUUUUUCUUCUUCAGUUGUCUCUGCCAUCUUUGACCUGACCAUUAGUGCUGUCCUGACUAUCUCACUGUGAGCAGAAAAAAAAUAUCAAACCAUCAACCAGAAGUAAACACAUCACUUUGGACAACUCAAAGACACAGUCUACCUGCUGUUUAACCCAGUCUUUGGUCGGAGGUGAAGAAGAGAUGACAUCCUCCACACCAUCCCCCUGCUGCUCUCAACAACCAUCAUCGCUGUGCUGGACAGAGACUGCAGCACCCACCAGGACCCUUCUCUCAUGGACUACACAAACAUGUGUUUUACCUGCUUGUGCUCCAGAUGUCCUGAAGCAGCUCUCAAGGACUACCAGACACCAGGCUGGAGCAGAACUGAUGCUGUAGCACCUGUCACUCACUGGGCUCGUUCCUGCUGAACCUCCAAGAGAUAAACCCCUCUUCAAGAAAGUCUGAGGUAAUGUCUUGGUGAACUUGUGUUCAUUUAUUUAUUCUUAGUAAUCUUAGCUGCUGUAUUAAUGCUUGUGACGCUAUUGUACAGCUCUGCUGAUAUCAUCGUCUUUAACAGCAGUGUUUUCUCCCAGGUCUUCUUCAAGCCAGUUAAGAGAGGAAGAACAGCUUAGACACUCAGACAGCUGAACACACCAAAGGUGGACAUCAUGCAGCCACCCUGAGCCUUGAGCCUCUCUGUGUAACGAAGCUUUGCUGCUGCAGACCUGGUGAAGUUGCUCUGGACAGAAAUAUUUUUUGCUCUGCUGCAGUGCUGAAGGUAUUCAUUGUAAUGAUGUGUGUAUUUAUUCAAUAUGUUUAGUUUCACAGAUUAUCAACACAAAUGUUUCUGUUUAUUUCCUGUUUUGAACCAGCUACAUUCUCCUACUUCAAGUCACUGUCUGUUCAUCCACGGUGUAGCCAGUGCAGCUCAGCAGAGUCCUACUAAUGGUGAUCCUUCAAGUCCUGCAGUCCUGUGAAGCAAGCUGCAGCAGAUGUCAUCACAUUCAGAUCAUCAGUUUAUCUUUACUGCAGCUUUAAAGUUUCCCUGAGGUAACGGUGUAUUUCCUUGCCCCAUAACAAUAACCAUGUUUGACCAACAUAGAAAAGCACAGUACUACUGUUAGCACAGGAUUACAGAGUUAAAGUGAAGGGGAUUUUGUUUGUUUUUUUCAGACCUCUCCUCCUCCUGCCUCUGACUCCAAUGAUGCUGUCAACUCGAACACUGAAUAACUGCACACAGCGAUUCUACAACCACAGGUCAAAGGUCAAAUCAUUACCUCACUCUAAACCUUCACUCUGAACUGUACCGGGCUCUGCUUUUGGUUUUGAAAAAAGUGCCCAGACAGAACACAGUACUCACUUGAGGAACUGACUGAUUGUCUUCAGGACAGGACAACUAUUACUCUUGUAUUGUUUUGAAUCCUGUUUUCUACAUUAAGUGAUCGGUUGUCAAUAUCUGUUAAUAUUUUCAGUUUCCUUUAUGUUUCUUGGAC